RNAcentral lists this ribosomal RNA (120 nucleotides) under Microcebus murinus (gray mouse lemur). The record is from RNAcentral. Lineage: Eukaryota; Metazoa; Chordata; Mammalia; Primates; Cheirogaleidae.
GUCUAUGACCAUACCAUCCUAAAUGCACCCAAUCUCAUCUGAUCUCAGAAGCUAGGCAGGGUCAGGCCUGGUUAGUACUUGGAUGGGAGAGUUUACAUUAUACCACUUAGUGUAUGGAAA